UGUCUGAUACUGUUUCCAGAACUGAUGGCAUAGCUUCUGCUUGCUCAAGAGAGAGAAGCAAACAAGGCAGCCAGACAAAAUAUUUGCUGAAUGAAGGACAGAAGCGAUAAUGAGCCUUGCUGGCCACCUGACAGCUUACCACCAGCGUAUUAGCAUCAGCUGUGAGGAACCCAGCACUGACAGAGGAAUGAAGGCUCACCUCCAAAGCCAGUUGGUGGGAAUGAGCAAGUGCUGGAGAAUGCUGGUGGCUCCUUUCUUCCCUCUACCAUUUAGAAGAAAAGCAUGGAAAUUUGUUCUCUCCACUACUGGCUUAUAAAGUCCUUGGGGAUCUUCUUCUUCUUCYUUUUUWUUUUAUUUUAUUUUUUAUUUUUUUCCCCGAAGAGUUUGCACAUCUCUAAUCAAGGUAUCUGAAAGUCCUAUCUGAACACAAACAAUAAAGAUAAAAACACUAGGCA
RNAcentral lists this long non-coding RNA (455 nucleotides) under Dromaius novaehollandiae (emu). RNAcentral's name for it is "lncRNA (ENSDNVG00000007929.1)". Lineage: Eukaryota; Metazoa; Chordata; Aves; Casuariiformes; Dromaiidae. The record is from RNAcentral.